Long non-coding RNA from Folsomia candida, 859 nucleotides. RefSeq lists it as uncharacterized. The transcript has 4 exons. The record is from RefSeq and is a predicted model, not a curated record. Lineage: Eukaryota; Metazoa; Arthropoda; Collembola; Entomobryomorpha; Isotomidae.
ACGUCUUCAAAAAUCCUUUCGCCUGGCAACAAGACAUAUUUAUCUUGGUUCCAAACAGCAGUGAAUACAUACGUAUUUCCUGAGAAUUAUUUUCUAUUCCAGAAAUAUAUUUUUUUGAAGUUAGUGUGCAUCCUAAAAUUCUGUCAGAUCGAUUCCUUCACUGGAUGGCUGGUUUUGGCCACGCUGUUUAAAAUUUAUUAAAACACGGGACCAUAUUGUUGGCCCACUGUAAAAGAUACAUAAAAGUGAAAGUGAAAGCCCUGGAAAAUUAUGUAUAAGUAAUCGCUAAUUUUAACUACGCAUAAUUGUAGUUAAUUCUCAAGUUGGAUGUAACUGUGCCUACUUAAAAACUUCAGGUCGUUAUUAACCGACCAUAAUUUCAUGAGGAUCGUACAUACCUAUAUACAUACAUAUUUCUCAAACAUUUAAAGAUUGACGGAUAGGGAUAAUCAAGCCAAUGAAACCACCCUCGUCGUCGAUUACAUGGAAAUGGAGAAGAUCAAGGCUUUGAAAAUUGUGCUGGAUCCACCUUUUGGAAUUGGACGUUUUUUUCAAAAAAAUCGUGAGAACUUAAUUAAUUUAAAAAUAUUGCACCGUUACUAAUUUACUAGGUUGUCAUACAAUUUAUGCACGCUUACAUAAUACAUCAAAAUUAUUAGAGAUUUAAUUUAAUGUAAACUAGUGAGCCGUAUUUCCUACCAGAGUAAAAAUUUCAAUCGCUUUUCUGCAGAAAUGUGACACGAAUUUCUACAGAAAAAAAUAUGCAGAGCGAUUUGUACACACAUUCAGAAUUAGAUAUAUACACAAAUUUCUGCAGAAUAAACCCAAACAAAAUUUUAUUCACCCUCAUGCAAAAAAA